RNAcentral lists this unclassified non-coding RNA (28 nucleotides) under Mus musculus (house mouse). Its description in RNAcentral is "oocyte_clustered_small_RNA578". Lineage: Eukaryota; Metazoa; Chordata; Mammalia; Rodentia; Muridae. The record is from RNAcentral.
UGUACACUAUCAGCCUGUCAGCACACCU